UUGUAUUAAUAUUUUUUUUUAAACAUAUUCAGCUUUUCUCAAUCGGUUCAAGCUCGAUUUUCGCAAUCUUGAUCGGAACACUCAAUCAAUGCCCCUCUGCAACUCUGUGCUGGUUGAAUUCGACGUACAAUCCUUCCGAUUUCUCCCAGUCUAAACGCUGCAAUUGUAUAUUUUCCCCUCUUCAACUUACCUUAGUCGCCCUUUCGCCGGAUUCCGAUCAAAUGGGAGCUAGACGGUUGUAGAUGCGUCGCCGGCGACCUUUUGUUCCCCGCUGCUCGAUCCAAAUAAAAGCCAUUGGAGUGCUUCUUCAGUUGCUGGGGCAUCCUCUAGCCACAGAUUUUUAGUCGUCAAUGCGUUUGCUGCCUUUACAGUUGCUUGGGCAUGCUCUACCUAAAGGCUUUUCAUCGUCCUCUUGUUUUUUGCCAUCGCCGAUAAGGUGCUCGCUAUAAAGCGCCAAAGAGUUUCUUGGGGCUGAUAUUACAUUGUUGGCAGUGCUGGAAAGGGUGGUCUAGCUGAAGUUCUUGUAGGGAACGAGGGGUAUGUGGCUUUCGGCUUUUUUCUCCAUGACAGAGAUUGUGUUUUUUACUUGGAAGCUUUCCUGGAUUUCUGAAACAAGCUGUUGCACUUCCUUUAAAGUGGAGUUAUUGAUGUCUACUGCUUGGCAUAUGAUGUUCACUGAAGCGUGAAAGCAUUUUUAUUUUAUUUUAUUUUUACGUACCUAGCACAUAA
Long non-coding RNA from Phalaenopsis equestris, 729 nucleotides. RefSeq lists it as uncharacterized. Lineage: Eukaryota; Viridiplantae; Streptophyta; Magnoliopsida; Asparagales; Orchidaceae. The transcript is spliced from 2 exons. The record is from RefSeq and is a predicted model, not a curated record.